UACGUAGGGGGCAAGCGUUGUCCGGAAUCAUUGGGCGUAAAGAGCGUGUAGGCGGUCCGAUAAGUCCGCUCUGAAAGCCCGGGGCUCAACCCCGGGAGGCGGGCGGAUACUGUCGGGCUAGAGUCCGGAAGAGGCAAGUGGAAUUCCUGGUGUAGCGGUGAAAUGCGUAGAUAUCGUAAGGAAGACCAGUGGCGAAGGCGGGUCUCUGGACAGUUCCUGACGCUGAGGCACGAAGGUCAGGGGAGCAAACGGG
Molecule: ribosomal RNA, 253 nt
Filed under: uncultured bacterium
Lineage: Bacteria
Description: partial 16S ribosomal RNA
Rfam family: Bacterial small subunit ribosomal RNA
Source: RNAcentral